GUGCUCACCUCAGCUGCACGUACCCUAAAACUGAAACGACACAGAGAACAUUGAGCACAGCCUCUGCCCAAGGAUGACCCGCAAAUUUGUGACGCAUGCCGAAUCUUU
RNAcentral lists this small nuclear RNA (108 nucleotides) under Zalophus californianus (California sea lion). Lineage: Eukaryota; Metazoa; Chordata; Mammalia; Carnivora; Otariidae. The record is from RNAcentral.